GACGAACGCUGGCGGCGUGCUUAACACAUGCAAGUCGAGCGGUAAGGCCCUUUCGGGGUACGACGAGCGGCGAACGGGUGAGUAACACGUGGGUGACCUCGCCCUCCAGCUCUGGGAGUAAAGCCGUCGGGAAACCGGGUACUAAUACUGGAUAUGACUCCAUGACGCAUGUUGUGGGGUGGAAAGCCUUGUGCGGCUGAGGAUGGGCCCGCGGCCUAU
This 219-nucleotide ribosomal RNA is filed under the name uncultured bacterium. Its description in RNAcentral is "partial 16S ribosomal RNA". It matches the Rfam family "Bacterial small subunit ribosomal RNA", at positions 28 to 241 of the family's 1533-position model. The record is from RNAcentral.